Molecule: non-coding RNA, 895 nt
Organism: Peromyscus maniculatus bairdii (prairie deer mouse)
Lineage: Eukaryota; Metazoa; Chordata; Mammalia; Rodentia; Cricetidae
Source: RefSeq, a predicted model, not a curated record
CUGCUUCAGGAGGAAGCUUCUCAGAGAUGACUGGAUAAGGCGCUGAUCUAGAAUCUGAAGAACUCCAGCAAUGUCCGAGAGCAGCAGAACCAGAAAGGAGCCCACACAUCUCACUCAAUUUGGGUCUCCUUAGUGGCACCUUGAUGCCCUUUGGGGUGUCAGUGUGGCAGUUGUACCUCAAACACCUCUAAAGUUGCCAGCACGAAAUCAGCAUGGAGAAGGCAGGUAUUCUGCCUCACGAUGGCCCAGAACCCACAGAUCCAAACACUGCCCACAGAGACCUCUAAGACUAGAACAGAAGAAGUGCUUAUGAGUGCUGCCAUGCCCUGUCCAUGCCGAAGAAUAUGCCAGAAUCAGGCAGAGGAGGUCCCUCCCACUCUUGGGGAAACAUUCUUGGCAUUUAAAACCAAUAAUGAAUGUGCAUGGAAACAAGAAAAGAGUGAUGUGUGCCAGGAACAUGAAGAGCAAAAAUGAUAGUAUCCAGGGGACUGAAGACAAGAACAGUCUCCGCUAAGUGGUCCAGACCAGCAGCCCCAGAAGGAACAGGAGCCAGAUGAGUAUCUGCUGGAGGGAGGUGCAUGGCAGGGACUGGAUCAGGGGUAGCUCUCCUAAGCUGGGACAUUGUUUGGGGCUUAUGGUAAGGACGGGGCAAGCCAGAGGGAGGGAGAGAGUCUAUAGUAGGGAUAUGCCACCAUAUUCGAUUCCCAAAUGCUUCCUGGGAUUCCAAGCUAAGGAAAUAUUUUGUCUGUGCUUGCUCUUAGGACCCAAAGAGACUGUGAAUGGGACACAACAUUGUCAGCCAGCCCCAGUUCUGUGUGCCCAUCAGUGUAUAGUGAGGCCACUCAGCUGCCAGCAGCUUCACAGAGCCCUGAGCCCUGGGAACACCACAGUGACC